AUACAGAGGCCCCGAGCGUUAAUCGGAAUCACUGGGCUUAAAGGGUGCGUAGGCGGAUCGUUAAGUGUCGUGUGAAAGCCCACUGCUCAACGGUGGAACCGCACGGCAAACUGGCGGUCUUGAGGAAUACAGAGGCGGGUAGAACGGUUGGUGGAGCGGUGGAAUGCGUAGAUAUCGGGAGGAACACCAGUGGCGAAGGCGGCCUACUGGGCUUUAACUGACGCUGAGGCACGAAAGUGUGGGUAGC
This 247-nucleotide ribosomal RNA is filed under the name uncultured bacterium. RNAcentral's name for it is "partial 16S ribosomal RNA". It matches the Rfam family "Bacterial small subunit ribosomal RNA", at positions 523 to 769 of the family's 1533-position model. The record is from RNAcentral.